CAGUAGCCGCGGGAAUACGUAGGGUCCGAGCGUUGUCCGGAGUUAUUGGGCGUAAAGGGCUCGUAGGCGGUUUGUUGCGUCGGGAGUGAAAACCGGGUGCUUAACACCUGGCUUGCUUUCGAUACGGGCAGACUUGAGGCAUGCAGGGGAGAACGGAAUUCCUGGUGUAGCGGUGAAAUGCGCAGAUAUCAGGAGGAACACCGGUGGCGAAGGCGGUUCUCUGGGCAUGUUCUGACGCUGAGGAGCGAAAGUGUGGGGAGCGAACAGGAUUAGAUACCCCUGUAGUCCCUGUCUCUUAUAU
RNAcentral lists this ribosomal RNA (301 nucleotides) under uncultured bacterium. RNAcentral describes it as "partial 16S ribosomal RNA". It matches the Rfam family "Bacterial small subunit ribosomal RNA", at positions 509 to 809 of the family's 1533-position model. The record is from RNAcentral.